RNAcentral lists this ribosomal RNA (519 nucleotides) under Wenyingozyma naganishii. Its description in RNAcentral is "eukaryotic LSU rRNA". It matches the Rfam family "Eukaryotic large subunit ribosomal RNA", at positions 119 to 658 of the family's 3401-position model. Lineage: Eukaryota; Fungi; Ascomycota; Pichiomycetes; Pichiales; Pichiaceae. The record is from RNAcentral.
AAUCUGGCAUCUUCGAUGUCCGAGUUGUAAUUUGAAGAAUUCGAUCUUGGAGUUGGCCCUUGUCUAUGUUCCUUGGAACAGGACGUCACAGAGGGUGAGAAUCCCGUGCGAUGGGGUGUCCAAUUCUAUGUAAGACGUUUUCGAAGAGUCGAGUUGUUUGGGAAUGCAGCUCAAAGUGGGUGGUAAAUUCCAUCUAAAGCUAAAUAUUGGCGAGAGACCGAUAGCGAACAAGUACUGUGAAGGAAAGAUGAAAAGAACUUUGAAAAGAGAGUGAAAAAGUACGUGAAAUUGUUGAAAGGGAAGGGUAUUCGAUCAGACUGGUAUUUAGUUAUCUUUGCUCCUUGUGGGUGAGGCUCUAACUUUUUACUGGGCCAACAUCAGUUUUGGUGGCGAGAUAAUGACAUUANAAUGUAACUCCUUCUGGAGUAUUAUAGCUCUUGUUGAUAUCGCCUACCGGGACUGANGUCUGCGGCUUUGCCUAGGAUGUUGGCGUAAUGAUCCAAUACCGCCCGUCUUGAA